UUGACCUCGGAUCAGGUAGGAAUACCCGCUGAACUUAAGCAUAUCAAUAAGCGGAGGAAAAGAAACCAACAGGGAUUGCCCCAGUAACGGCGAGUGAAGCGGCAACAGCUCAAAUUUGAAAUCUGGCCCCAGGCCCGAGUUGUAAUUUGCAGAGGAUGCUUUUGGCGCGGUGCCUUCCGAGUUCCCUGGAACGGGACGCCAUAGAGGGUGAGAGCCCCGUACGGUUGGACACCAAGCCUUUGUAAAGCUCCUUCGACGAGUCGAGUAGUUUGGGAAUGCUGCUCAAAAUGGGAGGUAUAUUUCUUCUAAAGCUAAAUAUAGGCCAGAGACCGAUAGCGCACAAGUAGAGUGAUCGAAAGAUGAAAAGCACUUUGAAAAGAGGGUUAAACAGCACGUGAAAUUGUUAAAAGGGAAGCGCUUGUGACCAGACUUGCGUCCGGUGAAUCACCCAGCUCUCGCGGCUGGGGCACUUCGCCGGCACAGGCCAGCAUCAGCUUGCCGUCGGGGACAAAAGCUUCAGGAACGUAGCUCUCUUCGGGGAGUGUUAUAGCCUGUUGCAUAAUACCCUUCGGCGGGCUGA
This 580-nucleotide ribosomal RNA is filed under the name Colletotrichum higginsianum. RNAcentral's name for it is "eukaryotic LSU rRNA". It matches the Rfam family "Eukaryotic large subunit ribosomal RNA", at positions 1 to 591 of the family's 3401-position model. Lineage: Eukaryota; Fungi; Ascomycota; Sordariomycetes; Glomerellales; Glomerellaceae. The record is from RNAcentral.